RNAcentral lists this ribosomal RNA (534 nucleotides) under Gagata cenia. RNAcentral's name for it is "partial 16S ribosomal RNA". It matches the Rfam family "Bacterial large subunit ribosomal RNA", at positions 1832 to 2575 of the family's 2925-position model. The record is from RNAcentral. Lineage: Eukaryota; Metazoa; Chordata; Actinopteri; Siluriformes; Sisoridae.
UGCAAAUAUCGAUGUAUAGGAGGUCUUGCCUGCCCAGUGACAAGUUAAACGGCCGCGGUAUUUUGACCGUGCGAAGGUAGCGCAAUCACUUGUCUUUUAAAUGAAGACCUGUAUGAAUGGUGAAACGAGGGCUUAACUGUCUCCCCUUUCUGGUCAAUGAAAUUGAUCUCUCCGUGCAGAAGCGGACAUAAUAAUACAAGACGAGAAGACCCUUUGGAGCUUAAGAUACAAGAUCACCUAUGUCAAGGACUUAAAACCAUCAAACUAAAUAGUAAUUGAUCCUAAUCUUUGGUUGGGGCGACCACGGGAGACAAUAAAGCUCCCAUGCGGACUGGGACACAUCCUAAAACCAAGAAAGACAUUUCUAAGCAACAGAAUUUCUGACCACAUGAUCCGGCCACCCGCCGAUCAACGAACCAAGUUACCCUAGGGAUAACAGCGCAAUCCCCUUUCAGAGUCCAUAUCGACAAGGGGGUUUACGACCUCGAUGUUGGAUCAGGACAUCCUAAUGGUGCAGCCGCUAUUAAGGGUUCG